This 168-nucleotide ribosomal RNA is filed under the name uncultured Thermovirga sp. RNAcentral's name for it is "partial 16S ribosomal RNA". It matches the Rfam family "Bacterial small subunit ribosomal RNA", at positions 1216 to 1382 of the family's 1533-position model. Lineage: Bacteria; Thermotogati; Synergistota; Synergistia; Synergistales; Thermovirgaceae. The record is from RNAcentral.
ACACACGUGCUACAAUGGCCGGCACAGCGGAAGCAGGGGGCGACCUUGAGCGGAUCCCUCAAAGCCGGUACUCAGUUCGGAUUGCAGUCUGCAACUCGACUGCAUGAAGUUGGAAUCGCUAGUAAUCGUGGAUCAGCCAAGCCGCGGUGAAUACGGUUCCCGGGCCUU